GAAGAAGCGCUUCGGCGUGACGGUACCUGAAGAAAAAGCACCGGCUAACUACGUGCCAGCAGCCGCGGUAAUACGUAGGGUGCAAGCGUUGUCCGGAAUUAUUGGGCGUAAAGAGCUCGUAGGCGGUUUGUCGCGUCUGCUGUGAAAACCCGAGGCUCAACCUCGGGCCUGCAGUGGGUACGGGCAGACUAGAGUGCGGUAGGGGAGAUUGGAAUUCCUGGUGUAGCGGUGGAAUGCGCAGAUAUCAGGAGGAACACCGAUGGCGAAGGCAGAUCUCUGGGCCGUAACUGACGCUGAGGAGCGAAAGCGUGGGGAGCGAACAGGAUUAGAUACCCUGGUAGUCCACGCCGUAAACGUUGGGCGCUAGGUGUGGGGCUCAUUCCACGAGUUCCGUGCCGCAGCUAACGCAUUAAGCGCCCCGCCUGGGGAGUACGGCCGCAAGGCUAAAACUCAAAGGAAUUGACGGGGGCCCGCACAAGCGGCGGAGCAUGUUGCUUAAUUCGAUGCAACGCGAAGAACCUUACCUAGGCUUGACAUGCACGGAAAUCCUCCAGAGAUGGUGGGUCCGUAAGGGUCGUGCACAGGUGGUGCAUGGUUGUCGUCAGCUCGUGUCGUAAGAU
Molecule: ribosomal RNA, 620 nt
Filed under: uncultured Blastococcus sp.
Lineage: Bacteria; Bacillati; Actinomycetota; Actinomycetes; Geodermatophilales; Geodermatophilaceae
Description: bacterial SSU rRNA
Rfam family: Bacterial small subunit ribosomal RNA
Source: RNAcentral